This is a long non-coding RNA of Sander lucioperca (pikeperch), 143 nucleotides long. RefSeq lists it as uncharacterized. The record is from RefSeq and is a predicted model, not a curated record. Lineage: Eukaryota; Metazoa; Chordata; Actinopteri; Perciformes; Percidae. The transcript is spliced from 3 exons.
CUUCUGAACUCACCCAUACUGAGAACUACAGAGAGAGUUGCGUGGAGCUGAUAGUCUUAAUUAGCUUUGUAUCAACUCAUUUUGGCAAUGGCUUGAAUGUCACAGAUGUUCAUUAUUAUAAACAAAAGUUGUGAACUAAAGCU